This 2325-nucleotide unclassified non-coding RNA is filed under the name Pomacea canaliculata. RNAcentral describes it as "delta-like protein 1, transcript variant X4". Lineage: Eukaryota; Metazoa; Mollusca; Gastropoda; Architaenioglossa; Ampullariidae. The record is from RNAcentral.
CGUGUGAUCGUGGCGUGAGGGCCCCGCACAUGCCCUUUGCCUCGGGCCCCGCGGGGGCUAAGAACGGGCCUGAUCACGAGAUGUCGUUAGAACUCAGACAGAAAGUUGUUUUUAGUCAGACAGCGAUCCGUAAACAACGAUUUUUGGUGACAAAUAAACAUUAUCACCUAUAGCUGCAUGUACAUCAUGUGUAACAUGCUGUGUAACACAGUAACAGAGACAAGCUUCUCCACUCAGGUUUUUCCCGUCGGCCUCCCAGCUACAGACCUCACCGAGCGUGACUGUCACGUGAUAAACAGCAGAGGACAGACCUGUCACGGAUCAGUGGAAUGUUUUGUUACAACACCACUCACUCAACCAAUUGCAUCCAUACAAGCAAGAAAAGUAAUACAAGUAAUAAUGAAAUGUAAAAAUGUAAAACAACUGGAGCAAAAUAAUGACGACAAACAAGCUACUUCUUGAUCGUCUCGCUUCACUGCACUGACCGACUUUUGUAAACGUCUCGUGUACAUUCAUGUCCUCAAAACACACACGUGGACACGCUUUAAUUACUAACCUUGAUAAAACUGCUAUCAGGCGAGUUCUCCCGCACGGUCACCUGUGUAUAUAUAGAUAAUUAUUUAUAUAUAUUGAUUCUUUUCUUUGUAGUCUCGGCAACACCUUUCUCACGCCACCCGGAUGUUGCUGUGUCAUACUGUGUGUGUGAGGAGAGAGGUGUGUGUUGACAGGCUUUGUGUUCCGUGUCUUUAUCGCCAGGUAAAUGUUUCUAUCGUAUGUUGUGUACGUCACUACUGACUUCGCUCAGCAUCACAGGUGAGAUUCGAGCUUCACAACACGUGAUUGCGCUGAGAAGUGGGAACCCUGGUAACCACCCGUGUGUAGCGAGCCGUGGAGCUUGGGGACCCUUUCUGUGUAGCUCGCUACAGACCCGGUGACAGCAAUGCCAACAUGAUCCGUGUCUUCCUUCGCCAUGUCAGAACGGGGGACGGUGUGUAAAUAUCGGAUUAUACUACUUCUGCGACUGCAACCCCAGCUUCCGGGGUUACAGGUGUCAGUUUGGAGGUGACUUCUGUGCCUCAUCUCCCUGUCACAACGGAGGAAUCUGCCACUCAUUGUCAUCAAACUACUUUUGCUCCUGCCGAUCUGGCCAUGAGGGCAUUAACUGUGACAUCCCUCUCCUCUGUGCCUCAUCUCCAUGUCAAAACGGAGGAACCUGCCAGUCGUUGUCUUCAAGCUACUGGUGUUCCUGUCGAACGGGCUACAACGGGGAUCGCUGUGAAAUCCCCGACAAAAGUCAGAAUUGGCAAGAGGACUUCAUGACAACAACACCAACGCCAACUUCGAUAACUGACCCGAACACGUCAAAAGGUGCAUCACCUGUGUGGAUAUUUCCUGUCAUCGCACUGAUCGUUUCAAUCAUCAUAAUAAUAACAGUUGUCUGCUCCUUGACGAUUGCCAAGAAACGGAAAAAAAGACAAGUAGACCAACAGCUUCGUCUUGGACCUCCUGACACAAUCGUUCGCUCAAUCAGCAGCAACCUCCAUUCGGACACCCGAGUCGGCAACCUCACCUCUGUGUCUGACCACCCCAUGUCCCCACAGCCGUACAGUGUACGCUACGCCACGAGACACUUUCAGACAGGCACUUUUGUCAUUGAAGUUCUGUCGGAGUCCAGUCAUCUCUCUCCUCAGCAGCCACAUCUCCAUGACAACGAGGAGAGCAGACUAGAUGGAGGGCCGGUCAAUCACCACGUCAGAGACCUACCUCCCUCCUACCUGUCUGUGGUGACAGAUCCCAGGUACAUCCGUGAGAAUGGCGACUCUGUGCAACAGUUGCCAUCGUACGAUGACGUAGUGGCUGUGAUACGACAAACAAAAGCACCGAGUGAUAGCCCCGUUACGUCAACAAGGUGACGUCAUGACCUCACACAACAGACACGUCAUCAGAGACCAACGUGACCUCAGCCUACAGACGAAACAUGACGACCUUGCUAGAGGAGGGCAGUAGAUGAGAUGAGAGAUGAGAGUAACACCACGCUGUGAGCACAAAGAUGGAUGACGAGACAUCAACCCAGUUCAGUGAAAACGACCAACAGAUGAAUAAACAGUCCAUGUACUUUAUAUUUCUUACGUUUAUUUAUUUUACUAAUUUGUUUUUAAAAUACAUCAGCAUGCGUGACCAUAUUAAAGAUGAAUAUUCCACCAAUGUUGUAUUGCCUCUGUCGUCUGUCACACUAGCGUCUUUGCUUGUUGUUAUGUUUAUUUAUUUGUUGAAAAUCGCUUUCAGUCUGCAUGUGAUGGUGAGUAAAGCGCUGUGUACAUCUAA